RNAcentral lists this transfer RNA (73 nucleotides) under Ixodes scapularis (black-legged tick). It matches the Rfam family "tRNA". From Rfam's summary of the family: Transfer RNA (tRNA) molecules are approximately 80 nucleotides in length. Lineage: Eukaryota; Metazoa; Arthropoda; Arachnida; Ixodida; Ixodidae. The record is from Rfam by way of RNAcentral.
CCCUAGUUAGCUCAGUUGGUUGAGCUGUCCACUUGAAAUGGAGAGGUCCCGGGUUGGAUACCCGGACCAGGCG